Malania oleifera is the source of this 1400-nucleotide long non-coding RNA. RefSeq lists it as uncharacterized. The transcript is spliced from 3 exons. The record is from RefSeq and is a predicted model, not a curated record. NCBI's taxonomy places the organism in Eukaryota, Viridiplantae, Streptophyta, Magnoliopsida, Santalales, Ximeniaceae.
AUGUCAUAACCGAAGAGCCCAUUACGAUACGGCUUCUCCGUUUUAUCUUCCCAUUUGUAAAUGGCGAUUAUGCUCAGAAUGGCAUAUGGAGAGUGAGACGAGAGGUGAUUGCAGGCGGCGAGAGAGGGUGCUUUCGCAGGAGGGAGGGAGGGAGGGAGGGAGGGAGGGACACACAGGGGGUGAGAGGUUGAGGUUGGGCAGCGAUAGAUGGCUUGUCGAAACGACGGCUAGUCGGCAGUGGAACCUGGCUAUGUUCCUUCUUCUUAUUCUUUCUUCUUCGUAGCUGUUUACAUUUUUGCAAGCUCAAUUGUUAAAAUAAUCUUGAAGCGUAGUCAUUAUAUUUCCACUUCUUGAAGCUCAAGUUGCGGAGGUGAUUUUUCGAAACUAUAUUAGGGAACUGUUUGAUUUUAGCCAUGGCCGUCUGUAUCCUUGCUGCUCUUCCAUUGAUUCUUUGCCCAUCAAUCUUUAGUCCCACUCCAUCAACCCAUUAGAUGUCGCCGCAACCAACGAGGAAAUAGCUUAUAGACCCGGGUGUUUAGAGAUAUUGGUAGAUUAACCUUUGGUUGGUUUGCGAAUGUGGAGCAACAUUGAGUGUGAUUGCAACAAUAUUUGUUGUGAAGAGGGCUCAGAGCAGGUGGGAGUGGUUGAUGGUUCUUAAGGAUUUGAUGGAAUUUAAGAAAGUGGUCAUGUCACUGAUAUAGGCUGAAGAUGGACGCAAUGGCGUUAGAGCUGUUCCUAGACUUGCCCUCCUAAGGUGUUUCAAAGCUCAAAAUGCUCCUCACACACAUGAAUAAUUUGCCCAACAGGAGUUUCUUGCCCAAGAAUGAUUCUCCCGAGUAUCAGCCUUGCGGCUUAUUGUGAUUCGUCUCCAAGUACGGCUGGUGCAGGCAUCUCCAAGUCAUACCAAAUACCCUUGUUCCGCCUGAUCUUCAUCUAAGUCCUCUCCUCUAUUUCUUCUUCUCUCCAUUUUUUCUUCUUAUCUCUCCUGAUUUUUUUAGAGAUUUACAUUCUUUUCUGGUCAUGAUCUGAUCCUCUUGAAUUGUAACACAGGUUAUGUAUGUUUUAGGGGGAGACCAAAUGAUCAACUACACCAAAUAGUUUUGCUGAUGAAUUUCUUAUGGAUAGCAAAAAGGUCUUUCAGCUCACAUGACUAGUGAUGUGGCAUGGAAUGGUGGUAAUGGUGGUGACAUGUUAGGCGGCAAGCAUUUUCACUCAAUGGUGAUGCUGUUAUGGGAUAAAGUACUAUUCCUAUUUUUUACCUUCUUUUUUUAUAUUUUUUUUGGAAAAAAACUUAAAUUUGUGUUUUUCUCAUAUUUACUUUGAGCUUUUGCUGCUCUAGGUGACCACAUCAAAUUCAUACAUAUUUAUUUAUUUCUCAUAUGAUCAACUUGCAACAGUGA